Long non-coding RNA from Alligator mississippiensis (American alligator), 989 nucleotides. RefSeq lists it as uncharacterized. The record is from RefSeq and is a predicted model, not a curated record. The transcript is spliced from 3 exons. Lineage: Eukaryota; Metazoa; Chordata; Crocodylia; Alligatoridae.
GGAAGGACCCAGCUCUUAAUUGAUAUCUGAGCAAGGGCCGACUGGGUUACUGCACAAACCUGCUGUUUGGUAACCACCUUGUUUUCUUGACCCAGCUCAGCUGGGUUGAUCUAGUUUUUGCCAGGAUUGAGUGGCUCUUCACCUUUUCCUAAUUAAAGUAACUCCAAGGAACCAGAAGCCAAUCCAUCACCUGCCCCAAACCUAGAGAAGCCCUGAGAGUAACAGCCUCUUUUAUCUGCUCUCUUUUCUCUUGAGAGCUCUUUUGCUGCAUGAACUAUAUUGCUUGCCUGGUGUGCAGCUAUUGUCCUGGAUUGAAUUAGCUGGUCUGCAGACCCUUGCAGAUGCAGAGCUUGCACAGAUAAUCCUUGCUGACAUGGGGGAGAGCUUCGUCAUAUGAGUUCCAGCAGGUGCCUUGAAACAAGCUAUGGAAGAACAGGGUGAGGAGCAUUAUGUGGCUGAAGUCGGGCUACUUCUGGACUUACCAACUGGUCUUGCAUUCCCAGACGCCUCCACCUGAGAACAGAUCCAUGGCACGAAGCAUGCUUUUACAAGGAUUAAAGUGAACAGCGGGAUGGGGGAAAGGAGGGAGGGAAAGGUAUUUUGCAUCGGUCCGAAAUGCUAUAUUUUCCAGUAUAAUAUUCAUGCUGUUUCCCUUGGGAAUUGGUGCUCAUGAAUUCAUUAGGACCAAGAGGUUGCUCUCUUUGUCAGCAUACAAAAACAGCCCGCUUCUGUCCAGAACAUAAAUUACAGUGUGGGGGAGAAAAACUUUUUAUUUUUGUAAUUUAAUUUUCUGGCAAAUAAAAAGGGACCAUACGUGACUGGAGCUUCAGCACUUCAAUAAUAUUAUGCAAAUAGCUUAGGCACAUAUUAGAGCUCUGUAUUUGUGCAGUGGAGCCUGUGUGCUCACGAUGGUAUUGGUGUACAGGGGCACGGGGAUUUGUGCUUAAGUGUCCUCCUGGUAUUUUCAGAGAGGCAAAUAAAGUGAAACA